GCUUGCCAGGCUCUGUCAUGCAGGCGGGAUACUCUCAGUAGCUUGCCAGGCUCUCCAAGAGAGACAGAGGAAUAGAACCUGGGUUGACUGCGUGCAAGGCAAAUGCCUACCCACUGUGCUAUCUGUCGAAGAGGAUGACCUUCUCCGAAUAGAGACGGAUCGGUCUUUGGUCAAGGGUAUAGGAGUAUUUGCGCUUCUCUGUUAGAACCUCCAAACAAGCUCUCAAUUGUAUAUAUAUAUGUAUAUAUAUAUAUAUAAAAUGAAAAAAAUUAUCAUCAUUUUAAGUAUAUCGGUUAGUGCAUUUUG
RNAcentral lists this small nuclear RNA (306 nucleotides) under Sorex araneus (European shrew). RNAcentral's name for it is "7SK RNA (ENSSARG00000018753.1)". It matches the Rfam family "7SK RNA". From Rfam's summary of the family: 7SK was discovered as an abundant small nuclear RNA in the mid-70s but a possible function has only recently been suggested. Two independent studies have found that 7SK RNA binds the CDK9/cyclin T complex (known as elongation factor P-TEFb). Lineage: Eukaryota; Metazoa; Chordata; Mammalia; Eulipotyphla; Soricidae. The record is from RNAcentral.